UGGAUCUGUCCUGGAGACUGAAGUAAUCUAUCCACAGAACAUCUAUAGCACAGGCAAUGGCAGUACAAGCUUCCCUCAUGCAGCCAUGUCAAUAAGCUUCAGCCAUGAGCAGUAGUGACCCACCACUAGGAGUAUGAUGAAUUUUCAGUCUUUGGUUCUGACCCUGCCAGUAGCUGCU
This 178-nucleotide small RNA is filed under the name Gopherus agassizii (Agassiz's desert tortoise). RNAcentral's name for it is "TUC338 (ENSGAGG00000006731.1)". The record is from RNAcentral. Lineage: Eukaryota; Metazoa; Chordata; Testudines; Testudinidae.